Molecule: long non-coding RNA, 202 nt
Filed under: Elaeis guineensis (African oil palm)
Lineage: Eukaryota; Viridiplantae; Streptophyta; Magnoliopsida; Arecales; Arecaceae
Description: long non-coding RNA (EGUI_LNC046637)
Source: RNAcentral
UGGGCUUCUCUGCCUAUGUGCUCGGGGAGGAGUCUGGGCGUGCUUGUACCCGGGAGGAGUUUGGGAAUGUGGUCGAGCUUCAUUCGGGCCUCUUUCAACUGUGGACUUACCGGGGUCACCCGCCUGCCACUCCUUCGCGGCUUCCUCGUCCUUCAGCUUGAAGGCUUCCUCAGCUUGGGCAUAUCCUUCGGCCCGAGCCAGC